GCAGGCGCGUAAAUUACCCAAUCCUAACACAGGGAGGUAGUGACAAUACAUAACAAUGCUGGGCCUAUACAGGUCUGGCAAUUGGAAUGAGAACAAUUUAAAUCCCUUAUCAAGGAUCAACGGGAGGGCAAGUCUGGUGCCAGCAGCCGCGGUAAUUCCAGCUCCCGUAGUGUAUACUAGAUUUGUUGCGAUUAGAAAGCUCGUAGUUGGAUAUCUGGUGAGAGCAAUCAGUCUGAUACUUUGUAUCAGAACUUGUAUUGUCUCUGACCAUCCUUGGGGGGAGCCUGUCUGGCAUUAGGUUGUCGGACAGGGGACCACCAUCUUUUACUGUGAAGAAAUUAGAGUGUUCAAAGCAGGCUUAUGCCAUUGAAUAUAUUAGCAUGGAAUAAUUAAAUAGGGCCUUGGAACUAUUUUGUUGGUUUGUGCGCCAUGGUAAUGAUUAAUAGGGACAGUUGUGGGUAUUUGUAUUACAAUGUCAGAGGUGAAAUUCUUGGAUUUUUGUAAGACAAACUACUGCGAAAGCAUUUACCAAGGAUGUUUUCAUUAAUCAAGAACGAAAGUUAAGGGAUCGAAGAUGAUUAGAUACCAUCGUAGUCUUAACCAUAAACUAUGCCAACUAGGGAUUGGCAGGAGUUAAUAUGACCCUGUCAGCACCUUAUGAGAAAUCAAAGUCUUUGGGUUCCGGGGGGAGUAUGGUC
Molecule: ribosomal RNA, 698 nt
Filed under: Coscinodiscus sp. 35 LG-2014
Lineage: Eukaryota; Bacillariophyta; Coscinodiscophyceae; Coscinodiscales; Coscinodiscaceae
Description: SSU rRNA
Rfam family: Eukaryotic small subunit ribosomal RNA
Source: RNAcentral